This 829-nucleotide ribosomal RNA is filed under the name uncultured archaeon. RNAcentral describes it as "bacterial SSU rRNA". It matches the Rfam family "Archaeal small subunit ribosomal RNA", at positions 41 to 878 of the family's 1478-position model. The record is from RNAcentral.
UGAUUAAGCCAUGCAAGUCGAGAGGGUUCGGCCCUCGGCGUACUGCUCAGUAACACGUGGAUAACCUGCCCUAAGGAAGGGGAUACCCCCGGGAAACUGGGUAUAAUACCCUAUAGAUUACAGAUGCUGGAAUGCCCUGUAAUCGAAAGUUCCGACGCCUUAGGAUGGAUCUGCGGCCGAUUAGGUUGUUGUCGGGGUAAUGGCCCAACAAGCCAGUGAUCGGUACGGGUUGUGGGAGCAAGAGCCCGGAGUUGGAUUCUGAGACACGAAUCCAGGCCCUACGGGGCGCAGUAGGCGCGAAAACUUUACAAUGCGGGCAACCGUGAUAAGGGAACCUCGAGUGCCUGUAUAUGCAGGCUGUCCAGGUGUCUAAAACACACCUGAAGAAAGGGCCGGGCAAGACCGGUGCCAGCCGCCGCGGUAAUACCGGCGGCUCGAGUGGUGGCCACUUUUAUUGGGCUUAAAGCGUUCGUAGCUGGGUCGUUAAGUCUCUUGGGAAAUCCGGCAGCUCAACUGUCGGGCGUCUAAGAGAUACUGGCGAUCUUGGAACCGGGAGAGGUGAGGGGUACUUCGGGGGUAGGAGUGAAAUCCUGUAAUCCUCGAGGGACCACCUGUGGCGAAGGCGCCUCACCAGAACGGCUUCGACAGUGAGGGACGAAAGCUGGGGGAGCAAACCGGAUUAGAUACCCGGGUAGUCCCAGCCGUAAACGAUGUGCGUUAGGUGUAUCAACGACCACGAGUCGUUGAGGUGCCGAAGGGAAACCGUGAAACGUACCGCCUGGGAAGUACGGUCGCAAGGCUGAAACUUAAAGGAAUUGGCGGGGGAGCA